This 620-nucleotide long non-coding RNA is filed under the name Nicotiana tabacum (common tobacco). RNAcentral describes it as "long non-coding RNA (NTAB_LNC009765)". Lineage: Eukaryota; Viridiplantae; Streptophyta; Magnoliopsida; Solanales; Solanaceae. The record is from RNAcentral.
AUUUAAGUUCUAGGUCGUCCACCAGUAAAAUGCGGGAAUACUUUUAAGUUCUAGGUCGCCCACCAUUAAAAUGCGGGAAUACUUUUAAGUUCUAGGUCGCCCACCUGUAAAAUGCAGGAAUACAUUAUGUUCUAGGUCGCCCACCGUAAAAUGCGGGAAUACAUUUAAGUUCUAGGUCGCCCACCAGUAAAAUGCGGGAAUACUUUUAAGUUCUAGGUCGCCCACCAGUAUAAUGCGGGAAUACUUUUAAGUUCUAGGUCGCCCACCAGUAAAAUGCGGGAAUACAUUAAGUUCUAGGUCGCCCACUAGUAAAAUGCGGGAAUACAUUAUGUUCUAGGUCGCCCACCAGUAAAAUGCGGGAAUACUUUUAAGUUCUAGGUCGCCCAACAGUAAAAUGCGGGAAUACAUUUAAGUUCUAGGUCGCCCACCAGUAAAAUGCGGGAAUACAUUAUGUUCUAGGUCGCCCACCAGUAAAAUGCGGGAAUACAUUUAAGUUCUAGGUCGCCCACCAGUAAAAUGCGGGAAUACUUUUAAGUUCUAGGUCGCCCACCAGUAAAAUGCGGGAAUACAUUAUGUUCUAGGUCGCCCACCAGUAAAAUGCGGGAAUACAUUUAAGUUCU